Molecule: ribosomal RNA, 301 nt
Filed under: uncultured bacterium
Lineage: Bacteria
Description: partial 16S ribosomal RNA
Rfam family: Bacterial small subunit ribosomal RNA
Source: RNAcentral
CAGUCGCCGCGGUAAUACGUAGGUGGCAAGCGUUGUCCGGAAUUAUUGGGCGUAAAGCGCGCGCAGGCGGCCUCUUAAGUCUGAUGUGAAAGCCCCCGGCUCAACCGGGGAGGGUCAUUGGAAACUGGGAAACUUGAGUGCAGAAGAGGAGAGUGGAAUUCCACGUGUAGCGGUGAAAUGCGUAGAGAUGUGGAGGAACACCAGUGGCGAAGGCGACUCUCUGGUCUGUAACUGACGCUGAGGAGCGAAAGCGUGGGGAGCGAACAGGAUUAGAUACCCCCGUAGUCCCUGUCUCUUAUAA